RNAcentral lists this long non-coding RNA (1225 nucleotides) under Homo sapiens (human). RNAcentral's name for it is "HSALNT0367405". The record is from RNAcentral. Lineage: Eukaryota; Metazoa; Chordata; Mammalia; Primates; Hominidae.
CAGAGAGCGCGGAGAGACGCAGAACGCAGCCAGCUCCUCCAGGGCCCUCCAGGCCCUCCGGACCCGGGCCGGCGGGUGAACUGGGGGGCCCCGGGACAGGCCGAGGCCUCUGCCCUGCAGAUACCGGAGGCCUCUGCUGUGGCUGCCCACUGGCUGUGCCCAGGCCUUGAAGCCGCAGCGAACCUCUCUUUCCCACCCCACCUGGAUGACUGAUGGCGGCGGCUGCGUCUCCCCGACGGGACCCCGCCGGCCGCCGCGUCUCCCGACCCAAGCCUGCCGGGCCUCGACGAAACCCCCGCAGAGUCGCUGGGACGCAGCGCCUUUGGGCGGCGCCGGGCGUGGUGGGCCGGAAAGUAUGGCGGCCGCUUGAACGCCGCGCGGCGGAGGCCAUUAAGGCGUGGAGGGCCCGGGAAGGCGGCCUAGGGACGCAAGCAGGCUCGGCCACCUCUUUAGGCCACGGAGCCGCGCAGAUCCGGUUCCCGGGUGACCACUCUGUCGCCAUUGGGCGAGACCGACCUAGUCCUGACGACAACGGACAAAGGCCUUCAGGGGCCUGGAAGAAACUCUUCAGCAGAUGGCAAUUUUCCACCUUCCUGUAUAAAACCAGAAUCCUCUCACCUGGCAGAAAUCUUUCUCUCCAGAUGCUGCAAAGCCAGCACAGAUCAUCUUCUCUGUGAUCCCUCCUGGAUGGGCAGAAUAAAAGAAGAGGGGCUGAAGCGGAUGCUGCUUGAUAUCAUUUACAUGACCUAUUUUCAAAAAUAACAACUGGCAUUAAUGUUUAUGCAACAAAAAUAUGCUUACCUGCACUGAUGCUUCCCCAUCCGGUCACAGCACAGAUCUCCGAGGAAAAUAGAGGCUCUGCGCUGUGUGGGAGACAUACUGGCCUCACCACCGAGUUGUACUCCAGAGGAGAGCUUAGUUGUAUUAGGGCAAUGUCAGAGUCAUAACUUAGUGUGUUAAAGUCUUCAUGCACUAUUAUGUGUUUGGCCCUUCUCACCUGUAUCGGUGGCAAGUAAGCAAAUUACAACGUAAGAAAGUCAAAGAAUCCAGCAACUUCCUUGUUGAUGGUCCAAAAUAAUCCUAAAUUUCUGCACUUACAUACAUAAACAAUGCAGAAGACUUUCUAUUAAAUUUAAAAGAGCAAUAUUGGUUUACAAUUUGCAGGGGGCUAUGAACCACCUUCUGGAUAAAGGUGGUGCUGGAGAAAUAAAGCUUUGAAAACCUG